RNAcentral lists this ribosomal RNA (250 nucleotides) under uncultured bacterium. RNAcentral's name for it is "partial 16S ribosomal RNA". It matches the Rfam family "Bacterial small subunit ribosomal RNA", at positions 524 to 773 of the family's 1533-position model. The record is from RNAcentral.
UACGAAGGGUGCUAGCGUUGUUCGGAAUUAUUGGGCGUAAAGCGUAUGUAGGCGGUUUAGUAAGUCAGUUGUGAAAGCCCCGAGCUUAACUCGGGAAUUGCAACCGAAACUACUUUGCUUGAAUUUGGUGGGGGAUAGCGGAAUUCUUAGUGUAGGGGUGAAAUCCGUAGAUAUUAAGAGGAACACCGGCGGCGAAAGCGGCUAUCUACACCAACAUUGACGCUGAGAUACGAAAGCGUGGGGAGCAAAC